UACAGAGGUCCCAAGCGUUGUUCGGAUUCACUGGGCGUAAAGGGUGCGUAGGUGGUAAGGCAAGUCAGGUGUGAAAUCUCCGGGCUCAACCCGGAAAUGGCAUUCGAAACUACCUUGCUAGAGGGUUUGAGGGGGGACUGGAAUACUUGGUGUAGCAGUGAAAUGCGUAGAUAUCAAGUGGAACACCAGUGGCGAAGGCGAGUCCCUGGACAUUUCCUGACGCUGAGGAGCGAAAGCGUGGGGAGCGAACAGG
This 253-nucleotide ribosomal RNA is filed under the name uncultured bacterium. RNAcentral describes it as "partial 16S ribosomal RNA". It matches the Rfam family "Bacterial small subunit ribosomal RNA", at positions 524 to 776 of the family's 1533-position model. The record is from RNAcentral.